RNAcentral lists this small RNA (560 nucleotides) under Trichoderma hamatum. Its description in RNAcentral is "eukaryotic LSU rRNA". The stretch from base 171 to 324 matches the Rfam family "5.8S ribosomal RNA". Lineage: Eukaryota; Fungi; Ascomycota; Sordariomycetes; Hypocreales; Hypocreaceae. RNAcentral also lists the same sequence under 1 other name. The record is from RNAcentral.
UCCCAACCCAAUGUGAACGUUACCAAACAUGUUGCCUCGGCGGGGUCACGCCCCGGGUGCGUCGCAGCCCCGGAACCAGGCGCCCGCCGGAGGAACCAACCAAACUCUUUCUGUAGUCCCCUCGCGGACGUAUUUCUUACAGCUCUGAGCAAAAAUUCAAAAUGAAUCAAAACUUUCAACAACGGAUCUCUUGGUUCUGGCAUCGAUGAAGAACGCAGCGAAAUGCGAUAAGUAAUGUGAAUUGCAGAAUUCAGUGAAUCAUCGAAUCUUUGAACGCACAUUGCGCCCGCCAGUAUUCUGGCGGGCAUGCCUGUCCGAGCGUCAUUUCAACCCUCGAACCCCUCCGGGGGAUCGGCGUUGGGGAUCGGGACCCCUCACACGGGUGCCGGCCCCGAAAUACAGUGGCGGUCUCGCCGCAGCCUCUCCUGCGCAGUAGUUUGCACAACUCGCACCGGGAGCGCGGCGCGUCCACGUCCGUAAAACACCCAACUUUCUGAAAUGUUGACCUCGGAUCAGGUAGGAAUACCCGCUGAACUUAAGCAUAUCAAUAAGCGGAGGAA